GCAGACACAUUCCAGCCAAUCAGCAGCAGACCCUCCCUCCCAGGCCCUCCCACCUCCUGGACAGCAUCCAUUGUGAAGCUGCAUUCUUAGUGAGCUGUCCAGGAGGUGGGAGGGUCUGGGAGGGAGGGUCUGCUGCUGAUUGGCUGGAAUGUGUCUG
Molecule: non-coding RNA, 157 nt
Organism: Pelobates cultripes (western spadefoot toad)
Lineage: Eukaryota; Metazoa; Chordata; Amphibia; Anura; Pelobatidae
Source: the annotation of a GenBank genome assembly